CGCCAGCAGCCUCGGUAACACGUGGGGCGCAAUCGUUAUUCGGAAUUAUUGGGCGUAAAGGGCGCGUAGGCGGUCUUGUCGGUCAGGUGUGAAAGCCCGGGGCUCAACCCUGGAAGUGCACUUGAAACAGCAAGACUUGAAUACGGUAGAGGAGAGAGGAAUUCCUGGUGUAGAGGUGAAAUUCGUAGAUAUCAGGAGGAACACCGAUGGCGAAGGCAUCUCUCUGGACCGAUACUGACGCUGAGGCGCGAAGGCGUGGGUAGCGAACGGGAUUAGAUA
Molecule: ribosomal RNA, 279 nt
Filed under: uncultured bacterium
Lineage: Bacteria
Description: partial 16S ribosomal RNA
Rfam family: Bacterial small subunit ribosomal RNA
Source: RNAcentral